UGAGGAAUAUUGGUCAAUGGGCGGAAGCCUGAACCAGCCAAGUCGCGUGAGGGAAGACGGUCCUAUGGAUUGUAAACCUCUUUUGCAGGGGAGCAAGACCUGUACGUGUAACAGGUUGGAGAGUACCCUGAGAAAAACGCAUCGGCUAACUCCGUGCCAGCAGCCGCGGUAAUACGGAGGAUGCGAGCGUUAUCCGGAUUUAUUGGGUUUAAAGGGUGCGUAGGCGGGCUGGUAAGUCAGCGGUAAAAAGUGCGGUGCUCAACGCCGUAAGUGCCGUUGAAACUGCCGGUCUUGAGUGAGCGAGAAGUAUGCGGAAUGCGUGGUGUAGCGGUGAAAUGCAUAGAUAUCACGCAGAACUCCGAUUGCGAAGGCAGCAUACCGGCGCUCAACUGACGCUGAGGCACGAAAGCGUGGGGAUCGAACAGGAUUAGAUACC
Molecule: ribosomal RNA, 436 nt
Filed under: uncultured bacterium
Lineage: Bacteria
Description: bacterial SSU rRNA
Rfam family: Bacterial small subunit ribosomal RNA
Source: RNAcentral